GUGUAAAGUACAUGUCAAAAGGACUGACAGCAAAUGUAACACUUUCUUUGUCUUUUUUGGAAAGCCAGAUGCCAAGAAGGAAGUUCAAAAUGAUGGGAAACCUACAAUACCUUUCUGUGCUUAUAGUGGUGGCCAUCUGUUGCUGUGAAGGCAAUAACCAAUUCAGCGACUCUAAAGUCCUGCAUUACGAGUUUGUAAACCAUAAUUGGAUGAA
Long non-coding RNA from Myxocyprinus asiaticus (Chinese sucker), 214 nucleotides. RefSeq lists it as uncharacterized. The record is from RefSeq and is a predicted model, not a curated record. Lineage: Eukaryota; Metazoa; Chordata; Actinopteri; Cypriniformes; Catostomidae. The transcript is spliced from 3 exons.